RNAcentral lists this ribosomal RNA (235 nucleotides) under uncultured bacterium. RNAcentral describes it as "partial 16S ribosomal RNA". It matches the Rfam family "Bacterial small subunit ribosomal RNA", at positions 30 to 261 of the family's 1533-position model. The record is from RNAcentral.
AUUGAACGCUGGCGGCAUGCUUUACACAUGCAAGUCGAACGGGGUGAAGGGGCAACUCGUUCAUUCAGUGGCGAAACGGGUGAGUAAUACAGUCGGAACGUACCCCGUAGUGGGGGAGUAACUCGGCGAAAGCCGUGCUAAUACCGCAUAUGCUCUACGGAGGAAAGCAGGGGACCGCAAGGCCGUUGUGCUAUGGGAGCGGCCGAUGUCCGGAUUAGCUAGUUGGUGAGGUAAU